Molecule: small nuclear RNA, 162 nt
Filed under: Capra hircus (goat)
Lineage: Eukaryota; Metazoa; Chordata; Mammalia; Artiodactyla; Bovidae
Description: U2 spliceosomal RNA (ENSCHIG00010015909.1, ENSCHIG00020003410.1)
Rfam family: U2 spliceosomal RNA (bases 1-97)
About the family: U2 is a small nuclear RNA (snRNA) component of the spliceosome (involved in pre-mRNA splicing).
Source: RNAcentral
AUAAUUGUCUCGGCCUUUUGGCUAAGAUCAAGUGUAGUAUCUGUUCACAUAGUUUUUUAUCGAAGUCUAAAAUCUGCAUAGUAAUGCAAUACCAAACAAAUGUAAUUAAAUACUAUACAAAGACCGGAAACUCUUAAUUCUGUUGAAAAAUCUUGUUUUUUC